CGUGGGCGCUGGAAAUUUGAGAGGAUCUGCUCCUAGUACGAGAGGACCAGAGUGGACGAACCUCUGGUGUACCGGUUGUGACGCCAGUCGCAUCGCCGGGUAGCUAUGUUCGGAAGGGAUAACCGCUGAAAGCAUCUAAGCGGGAAGCCUACCUCAAGAUAAGAUUUCCCUAGGACUUUAUGUCCUCUAAAGAGCCGUUCGAGACUAGGACGUUGAUAGGUUGGAUGUGGAAGCAUAGUGAUAUGUGAAGCUGACCAAUACUAAUUGCUCGUGAGGCUUGACUAUACAACACCCAAGCAGUUG
Molecule: ribosomal RNA, 303 nt
Filed under: Acinetobacter baumannii
Lineage: Bacteria; Pseudomonadati; Pseudomonadota; Gammaproteobacteria; Moraxellales; Moraxellaceae
Description: partial 23S ribosomal RNA
Rfam family: Bacterial large subunit ribosomal RNA
Source: RNAcentral